This 556-nucleotide long non-coding RNA is filed under the name Brassica napus (rape). RNAcentral's name for it is "long non-coding RNA (BNAP_LNC010159)". Lineage: Eukaryota; Viridiplantae; Streptophyta; Magnoliopsida; Brassicales; Brassicaceae. The record is from RNAcentral.
AUUAAACUAUAUUUUAUAUUAGAUGUUCUAGAAUUCUUUGAAAUGGAAUUUAGAAGACAUUUAGAGAGCCACCUAGGAUUUGGGGUUUUUUUUAAUUAAUACAAAAUUAAAGUUCUAAUUUUUCAAAUGCUUCUCAAUUAAUAUACAGGGGAUAUAUGUGUUUUUUUGUUAUAAAUUAAUUGGUGGAUGUCCAUAACCGGCCCGGUCAUAACCGGCCCAUACACUUAGAGAGAGAGACGACCCAACCCUAGAGAGAGAAAGGCGGCCGCGAGACUUGGAGAGGAGAGAGAUGCGGCUACAACUUGCCAAUUUCCUAAUUCGUUUAUGUUUAUGAUUUGUAAUCUUUCCUAUUAUUGUAUUUUCAUUUAUCUCUCUUGUAAACCCUAUAUAAAGGAAACACUUAUUCAUUACUAAUAUACAGAAACUUACAGUUCUAAAUCCUAAGUUUCACAACACGUUAUCACCACGAAAGCCUCUAACACCCUGAGCCUAAAACCAAAUCGCUAAAACCCUAAAACCCUAAAUGAAAAGGAAUCUGCCUCGAAACUUCGAAGAG